This 510-nucleotide ribosomal RNA is filed under the name uncultured bacterium. RNAcentral's name for it is "partial 16S ribosomal RNA". It matches the Rfam family "Bacterial small subunit ribosomal RNA", at positions 28 to 507 of the family's 1533-position model. The record is from RNAcentral.
GACGAACGCUGGCGGCGUGCUUAACACAUGCAAGUCGAACGAGGAGCGAUGGAAGCUUGCUUCUAUCAAUCUUAGUGGCGAACGGGUGAGUAACGCGUAAUCAACCUGCCCUUCAGAGGGGGACAACAGUUGGAAACGACUGCUAAUACCGCAUACGAUCUAAUCUCGGCAUCGAGGAUAGAUGAAAGGUGGCCUCUACAUGUAAGCUAUCACUGAAGGAGGGGAUUGCGUCUGAUUAGCUAGUUGGAGGGGUAACGGCCCACCAAGGCGAUGAUCAGUAGCCGGUCUGAGAGGAUGAACGGCCACAUUGGGACUGAGACACGGCCCAGACUCCUACGGGAGGCAGCAGUGGGGAAUCUUCCGCAAUGGACGAAAGUCUGACGGAGCAACGCCGCGUGAGCGAUGACAGCCUUCGGGUUGUAAAGCUCUGUUAAUCGGGACGAAAGGCCUUCUUGCGAAUAGUGAGAAGGAUUGACGGUACCGGAAUAGAAAGCCACGGCUAACUACGUG